Daphnia pulex (common water flea) is the source of this 3141-nucleotide long non-coding RNA. RefSeq lists it as uncharacterized. The record is from RefSeq and is a predicted model, not a curated record. The transcript has 2 exons. Lineage: Eukaryota; Metazoa; Arthropoda; Branchiopoda; Diplostraca; Daphniidae.
GGUUGCUUGACCGUUCACUUAGCGACAGCCUCGACACACUCCUUAAUAGGUAGUAGCUGGCAACCCGCACGCUAGAUGCACGUGAUCAACACGUAUCUGGAUCGUCUGGAAAGUGACCUCCAGUCUGUACCCGCAAGGCACAGCCACGUCAGCAACCCACCACUACUUAAGCGGAGCCCACCUGAGACUCCGCAGAGACUAUACGAUGUACACUGUUACUGUAUGUAACAUCUAGACCUGUGUCUCGUCAAUACAAGCUGUUCUCCCAUACUUUGAGUUCGUCCAUUUACUCAUUGUAACUACCUGUUACAUUUGGUGAACGUGCCUGCGCGAAGCUGACAUCUUCAACAUCUUUCAGCCCGAACCUUCCACCAUCUCUUCCAGACCUUGCCAUACGAUACAACAAAAUCUUCAAGAUUAUCUACAUAUCAUCACACUCAUCACUACCAUCUACGAUACACUCAAACUUUAUCACCAAAAACAGUAAAAUUUAAAAACAUACCUUGAGUAUUCAAAAUUCAACAUGUUGACAGCUGUAUUUCAAGUCCUCAAAUCAACGCUCAACCACAAAACUGAUUUUGAAGUAAUUUUCAUAUGUACUGAAAAUUCACCAAAUGAUUCAAACUGGUUAUUGAAGACCAAAUCAUUCAAUCCACCAAUAUUUUUAAAUAACAAAUCACAUUUCUAAAAAUAUUCCAUCUUCGUAGUAUAUAAAUGUAGAUUCAACACCCCAACCCUUAACUAACCUUCUAAUGCAUCCCUUUCCAUUUUUUCACACACAUUUUUAUUUUAUACUUUACUACUGUCAUUGAAUUCUCUCAUUUUUCCGACCCAAUCGACCAUCUUGUUUGAACUAACAAAGAAAACGCCACAUAUUGCGUUCUAACUUACUAUUCCGUACGUCUUCCUGUAUGGACGAAACUAAUCAAGACAGACAAUUCCACACUUCAUCAAGAAGAAACAGCAGCAAAUUAAGAAUGUUAUAACUCAGCACAACUAUUUCACAUUUUUCACCUGGAGAAUGUUUUUACCCUUCUACAACAGGCCUAUGUGUAAAUAUUAAAAUGCCGAUAAGUAUCGUUUCUCAAAGGAAAAAGUGGGAUUUUUAGGACAUAUCGUAUCCUAAGGAGGAAUCGAAGCUAUUUAAUCCGUAACCAACUACAGAAGAUAUUUACAAAUUCACCAACAAGACCCAUGGUUCCCAGCUUACAAAAAGCAAAGUACCAUGGAAACGGGGAACUGAGGAGCAGACGUGCUUCGAACGCAUCAAAGAAAUAUUGUGCUCCUCUCCUGUCCUCGCGUAUCCCGACUUCACCAAGCCUUUUAUCAUACACACGGAUGCAUGCGGAUAUGGAGUCGACGGAAUUCUUUCCCAGAUGCCUCAACCUCAGGAAAACCAGGACGUCCAUGAGGAGAAUAUUAAAUUCUCAAGAGAAAACCCAUGAGGAAUCUGUUAUUGAUUCAAGAGAACAUUCUGUUGCGUAUGCCUCUAUAAACACAUGACCAAGUAAACUAGAACUGAGUGGAACCCUACUCAGCAACUAGAUAUAUUUUGCAAGGAAAUCUACAUGGACGGCAUGGCGCAAAGAAAGGAACUUGCCGACAUUGAGCAAGACAGUAGUCCCGGUGAAACUACAUAAGAGAUACUUCUGUUUGUUGUCCAAGCAUGUACACAUAUUGCAAACUGUUAAUUUAUGCUGAACAAACGCCAUAACAAACGUGCACAGCCCUACUGCCAUCCAUACCGAUUGACACACGUUUUCUUUACGGUUGGAAAUAUUUAGCAGCAGGGGCCCCGUUUUAAAACGCCUACUUGAAAAUGGAUGUAUCUUGAUGGAUAUAGAGUAUGCGACACACUGUGUUCGCUAUUCAAAAAAAAAAUGUAUCGGCCUAAUCUUCAAAACAAAAGUUCACUGGCAAAUAACACUGAACUAAGACGGUUUGACUGACAACACGAUCAACUAUCGAGAUACACAUUUUUUCAAACUUCAGUAAUGACAGAAACGAGCUAAACCAAGCCAUUUAAGCAAUUACAUGCCACCACCCACUAUAAGACCACCGGAUUAUAAUACUUCUGAUGUAUGUGUACAACUAACCCUAUUAUCACGGGACGGAACGUGAUACAAUUAAUGGGGUGAACAACUAAAUUUCGUAGAGUCAACGUCCACAAAACUUUACAUUCCAGUACAAGAAUUUAACCUUUCUUUCUUCUCAAGGCUUUACGACCUUAGAGCAAAAAAAUGAUGAAGGCCUCUUGUGAGGAUUGUUAGUGAUUGCCAACUAAACUUGUCCUCAUAAAACCAUGGUAUGAGACAGUUUAUUAGCAAAAACAAAAAAAAAAAUACGCGAUUGCACAAGCAAAACUGAACCACUAUUACAAUCGUUUACUGAAGAAUUACUCUUCGAGUAACACGACGCCGUGCUUCUUAAAGUCUACAUGUGCAGAUCGGAAAAUGAACUUGAGGUAAACGCUCAUAGUAAUUGAAAAAUUUUCCGAUCCCAAAUUAUUGAUGUAUCAAAUCGACGAAGACUACGAAAUGUUGCAGUACACUAUGCAAUCUCCUCAACCAAAGGAACUUUAUUUAAACCGAAUCUCACUAAUAGAUGCAAAAUUAAUAAAGGAGUUGAACGAACGAUCCAUUCAAAUGAUAUAUCAGACAACUACUGAGCAUAGCUGAUACAGAAAGUGAAACUGGACUUGAAAAAACUUUCUAAAAUCCCCGAGGCUACAACAGUAAAGAAGCCUACGAAAAGGAAAUCGUCUGAUCAAAGAAUUCAAAAUACGGAUUCGUCUUUUUCAAAUAAGGGAGGAAUGGGUGUAGACCUCUCCGCCAUAACAAAUUCACAUACUAACUUCGGGAGGAAUGUAACGGUUGCUUGACCGUUCACUUAGCGACAGCCUCGACACACUCCUUAAUAGGUAGUAGCUGGCAACCCGCACGCUAGAUGCACGUGAUCAACACGUAUCUGGAUCGUCUGGAAAGUGACCUCCAGUCUGUACCCGCAAGGCACAGCCACGUCAGCAACCCACCACUACUUAAGCGGAGCCCACCUGAGACUCCGCAGAGACUAUACGAUGUACACUGUUACUGUAUGUAACAUCUAGACCUGUGUCUCGUCAAUACAAGCUGUUCUCCCAUA